RNAcentral lists this ribosomal RNA (465 nucleotides) under uncultured bacterium. RNAcentral describes it as "partial 16S ribosomal RNA". It matches the Rfam family "Bacterial small subunit ribosomal RNA", at positions 28 to 507 of the family's 1533-position model. The record is from RNAcentral.
GACGAACGCUGGCGGCGUGCUUAACACAUGCAAGUCGAACGGUAAGGCUCCAGCUUGCUGGGGUACACGAGUGGCGAACGGGUGAGUAACACGUGGGUGACCUGCCCUGCACUUCGGGAUAAGCCUGGGAAACUGGGUCUAAUACCGGAUAGGACUGCACCGUGAGGGUGUGGUGGAAAGUUUUUUCGGUGUGGGAUGGGCCCGCGGCCUAUCAGCUUGUUGGUGGGGUAAUGGCCUACCAAGGCGGCGACGGGUAGCCGGCCUGAGAGGGUGGACGGCCACAUUGGGACUGAGACACGGCCGAGACUCCUACGGGGGGCAGCAGUGGGGAAUAUUGCACAAUGGGCGGAAGCCUGAUGCAGCGACGCCGCGUGGGGGAUGACGGCCUUCGGGUUGUAAACUCCUUUCACCAUCGACGAAGGGUUUCUGACGGUAGAUGGAGAAGAAGCACCGGCUAACUACGUG